RNAcentral lists this ribosomal RNA (255 nucleotides) under uncultured bacterium. RNAcentral describes it as "partial 16S ribosomal RNA". It matches the Rfam family "Bacterial small subunit ribosomal RNA", at positions 524 to 776 of the family's 1533-position model. The record is from RNAcentral.
UACGUAGGGUGCGAGCGUUGUCCGGAAUUAUUGGGCGUAAAGAGCUCGUAGGCGGUGUGUUACGUCGGCCCGUGAAAACCUGCAGCUUAACUGUGGGCGUGCGGUCGAUACGGGCAUCACUGGAGUUCGGCAGGGGAGACUGGAAUUCCUGGUGUAGCGGUGAAAUGCGCAGAUAUCAGGAGGAACACCGGUGGCGAAGGCGGGUCUCUGGGCCGAUACUGACGCUGAGGAGCGAAAGCGUGGGGAGCGAACAGG